Molecule: non-coding RNA, 1305 nt
Organism: Nicotiana tabacum (common tobacco)
Lineage: Eukaryota; Viridiplantae; Streptophyta; Magnoliopsida; Solanales; Solanaceae
Source: RefSeq, a predicted model, not a curated record
UAAAAGGAUCAGAUAUUUUCCACCAUCUUCUCUCUCUCGUUCUUUGAAGAUUAGGGUAUUUUCACCACGAAAAUUCCCUCUUAGCUUCCGCAAAUUUCUCUCUUAACAUGGUAUCAGAGAGGGACAUGAGUUCCUAUCCCCGCUUAACUUCAUUCGAUCGUACUCGUAUAGUUUGCUGUUUACAAUUUUAGGUUAUUGAAACCCUAGCUUUUGAUUUGGGGUUUUUCUUCGACUGAAACGAAAUUCAAUAUCAGCCAUGGUUUUUCGAAGGUAUAAUGACGGUUCGCUGGUGGCGUUCCUCUUAUUUCGACCGCUGAAUACAGGGCUCUCAGAAAGGUGGUUGCAGAGGUCUCAUGGUUGGCCAGGGUACUGGGUGAUCUUGGUUUACAUGUUUCUGCUCCUGCUCCCAUCUAUUAUGACAACCUUGUUGCUUUACACAUUGCCAAGAAUCCAGUCUUCCAUGAAAGGACAAAGCAUCUCGAAAUUGAUUGUCACUAUGUGCGUGAGAGUCUUAAUUCUGGGCUGAUAUCUCUGCACUUUGUCCCCAGUUCUGUAACAGAAGUUCACAAAUGUCCUGCUAGCAGAAUUCCAUUGCCAAAAUCAAUUUUAUCAUCUAGGUAUCAUCCAUUUAAGCAUCUAGGUGUCCCUCUGGACAGAAUUUUACUAUGGUGCAAUGGCAAUCCUUGAUUGAGAAAAUAAUAGUAGCAAAAAUCUCCUCUAAAACAGUAAAAAAAAAAAAAAACAUUUGCUGGUAGAUCACUUCAACUGGUGCAAACUAUCUUUUUUGGUAUUCAAUCAUACUGGGCUUAAUUGUGAACACUGCAUGUAUAUGUGCUUUGUCAAAAUAGUACUGAGACCAAAGAUCAGUUAUUUUGAGGAUGUCCUUUUAUCUAACCUACGUACUAUGGAGCACACUUUUGAGAUGGGUGCAGAGAUACAACAAAGUUGGCUUCAUCAACGUCGUUUCCAGUGGAUCAUACAACAGUCUAAAGGGAAGAAAACGAUGGCCAGAUUGCUUAUAUACACUGAAUAUGUGCAUGUAAUAUAGAGACAAAGGAAUUGCUCAAUCUUUGAACAAAUCUCAAAGAGCCGGACAUUAAAUGGUGGAUCCCGAAGAGGCACGAUGGUUUAUUAGAUGCCUAUAUGAUUUUGAAACGGUUCUUUUUCACCUUUUUUUUUUAAUUAAUUAUUAGAGAGCUGUAAUGUAAUCAAGCCUUUAAUUGUUUGGACGAACUGAAAAUCGUGAAGAUUUUUGUUCAUAACACCUGGGUUUCGGAUAAUUUUGAAACGGUUCAUUUCUUCUUA